Molecule: small RNA, 575 nt
Filed under: Pan troglodytes (chimpanzee)
Lineage: Eukaryota; Metazoa; Chordata; Mammalia; Primates; Hominidae
Description: retained intron
Source: RNAcentral
GAACAGCGGAGCCGGACGGGGAUCGCCGGCGGGCGGCAAGCGGAGGCGGCCCAGGCCCGGCGGUCUCCGAGAUGUCACGAUGGCUGUGGCCAUGGUCAAACUGUGUGAAAGAGCGGGUCUGCCGCUACUUGCUGCACCACUACUUAGGUCACUUCUUCCAAGAGCACCUCAGCCUGGACCAGCUCAGCCUCGAUCUGUACAAGGGCAGCGUUGCCCUGCGAGACAUCCACCUGGAAAUCUGGGUGAGGAGCCAGGCCCGAGUCCAGGAAGUCUGUGAACGAGGUGCUGGAGUCGAUGGAGUCACCGCUGGAGCUGGUGGAAGGCUUCGUGGGCUCCAUCGAGGUGGCCGUGCCCUGGGCUGCUCUGCUCACCGACCACUGCACAGUGCGCGUGUCCGGCCUCCAGCUCACCUUGCAGCCCCGCCGGGGUCCAGGUGAGGGCAGGGCGAGGCUGGGGGCGGGCAAGUGGGGAGAGUGGGCCGGGGCGUCCAGGACCUGACUGGGCCUGCCUGCCUUGAGACCCUGUUUCUCCCUACAGCGCCAGGGGCUGCCGACUCACAGAGCUGGGCCUCAUGC